Molecule: regulatory RNA element, 46 nt
Organism: Orchesella cincta
Lineage: Eukaryota; Metazoa; Arthropoda; Collembola; Entomobryomorpha; Orchesellidae
Rfam family: Histone 3' UTR stem-loop
About the family: The mRNAs of metazoan histone genes lack a poly-A tail. 3' end processing occurs at a site between a highly conserved stem-loop (modelled by this family) and a purine rich region around 20 nts downstream (the histone downstream element, or HDE). The stem-loop is bound by a 31 kDa stem-loop binding protein (SLBP - also termed the histone hairpin binding protein, or HBP).
Source: Rfam
CCAACGGCUCUUUUAAGAGCCACCACAUUUUCCUAAGAGCAAAACC